AUUGAACGCUGGCGGCAUGCCUUACACAUGCAAGUCGAACGGCAGCACGGGUGCUUGCACCUGGUGGCGAGUGGCGAACGGGUGAGUAAUACAUCGGAACGUACCUUAUCGUGGGGGAUAACGCAGCGAAAGCUGUGCUAAUACCGCAUACGCACUGAGGGGGAAAGCGGGGGAUCGCAAGACCUCGCGCGAUUAGAGCGGCCGAUGCCUGAUUAGCUUGUUGGUGGGGUAAAAGCCCACCAAGGCGACGAUCAGUAGCUGGUCUGAGAGGACGAUCAGCCACACUGGGACUGAGACACGGCCCAGACUCCCACGGGAGGCAGCAGUGGGGAAUUUUGGACAAUGGGGGCAACCCUGAUCCAGCAAUGCCGCGUGAGUGAAGAAGGCCUUCGGGUUGUAAAGCUCUUUUGUCAGGGAAGAAACACCGGCUCUAACACAGUCUGGGAAUGACGGUACCUGAAGAAUAAGCACCGGCUAACUACGUGCCAGCCGCCGCUGUAA
Molecule: ribosomal RNA, 501 nt
Filed under: uncultured bacterium
Lineage: Bacteria
Description: partial 16S ribosomal RNA
Rfam family: Bacterial small subunit ribosomal RNA
Source: RNAcentral